This 492-nucleotide ribosomal RNA is filed under the name uncultured bacterium. Its description in RNAcentral is "partial 16S ribosomal RNA". It matches the Rfam family "Bacterial small subunit ribosomal RNA", at positions 29 to 507 of the family's 1533-position model. The record is from RNAcentral.
AGUGAACGCUGGCGGUAGGCCUAACACAUGCAAGUCGAACGGCAGCACAGUAAGAGCUUGCUCUUACGGGUGGCGAGUGGCGGACGGGUGAGGAAUACAUCGGAAUCUACUUUUUCGUGGGGGAUAACGUAGGGAAACUUACGCUAAUACCGCAUACGACCUACGGGUGAAAGCAGUGGAUCUUCGGACCUUGCGCGAUUGAAUGAGCCGAUGUCGGAUUAGCUAGUUGGCGGGGUAAAGGCCCACCAAGGCGACGAUCCGUAGCUGGUCUGAGAGGAUGAUCAGCCACACUGGAACGGAGACACGGUCCAGACUCCUACGGGAGGCAGCAGUGGGGAAUAUUGGACAAUGGGCGCAAGCCUGAUCCAGCCAUGCCGCGUGGGUGAAGAAGGCCUUCGGGUUGUAAAGCCCUUUUGUUGGGAAAGAAAAGCAGCAGGUUAAUACCCCGCUGUUCUGACGGUACCCAAAGAAUAAGCACCGGCUAACUUCGUG